ACUCCUACGGGAGGCAGCAGUGGGGAAUCUUGGACAAUGGGCGCAAGCCUGAUCCAGCCAUGCCGCGUGAGUGAUGAAGGCCCUAGGGUCGUAAAGCUCUUUCGCCAGGGAUGAUAAUGACAGUACCUGGUAAAGAAACCCCGGCUAACUCCGUGCCAGCAGCCGCGGUAAUACGGAGGGGUUAGCGUUGUUCGGAAUUACUGGGGCGUAAAGCGUACGUAGGCGGAUUAGUUAGUCAGAGGUGAAAUCCCAGGGCUCAACCCUGGAACUGCCUUUGAUACUGCUAGUCUUGAGUUCGAGAGAGGUGAGUGGAAUUCCGAGUGUAGAGGUGAAAUUCGUAGAUAUUCGGAGGAACACCAGUGGCGAAGGCGGCUCACUGGCUCGAUACUGACGCUGAGGUACGAAAGUGUGGGGAGCAAACAGGAUUAGAUACCCUGGUAGGAUAGCG
Molecule: ribosomal RNA, 448 nt
Filed under: uncultured bacterium
Lineage: Bacteria
Description: bacterial SSU rRNA
Rfam family: Bacterial small subunit ribosomal RNA
Source: RNAcentral